UACGUAGGGUGCAAGCGUUAAUCGGAAUUACUGGGCGUAAAGCGUGCGCAGGCGGUUUUGUAAGCCAGAUGUGAAAGCCCCGGGCUCAACCUGGGAACUGCGUUUGGAACUACAAGACUAGAGUGUGUCGGAGGGGGGUGGAAUUCCGCGUGUAGCAGUGAAAUUCGUAGAUAUCGGGAGGAAUACCGGUGGCGAAGGCGACUUUCUGGACGAAUACUGACGCUGAGGCGCGAAAGCGUGGGGAGCAAA
This 249-nucleotide ribosomal RNA is filed under the name uncultured bacterium. Its description in RNAcentral is "partial 16S ribosomal RNA". It matches the Rfam family "Bacterial small subunit ribosomal RNA", at positions 524 to 772 of the family's 1533-position model. The record is from RNAcentral.